This is a non-coding RNA of Camellia sinensis, 2219 nucleotides long. The record is from RefSeq and is a predicted model, not a curated record. NCBI's taxonomy places the organism in Eukaryota, Viridiplantae, Streptophyta, Magnoliopsida, Ericales, Theaceae.
UUGAUCUGAUAAUCUUCUGUUAUCUGGGGUUUAUUAUUUGUGUGCUACGAGAAACUAAUAAAUGGAUUUGUGGCUUCUAAAUAGACUUUUAUGUACAGUUUCCAGGGAAAUCAAAAAUUUUAAAUAACUGCAGUUGCAGCUGCUUUAAUCACUUUAAAAGCAUUUGUUCUAUAUGCCAUUACCAAACACAAUUUUCUGUAGUGCCUGGAUGAUCGUAGCACAAUUCAUGUUCUUGCAAUUUGAAAUUUGUAGGCCCCCAAUUUUGGAGGUCCCGUACUUGGAAAUGUUAUUAGCAAGACAAUUGAAUAAUCCUGAGAUAUAUUAUUGAAGUUUGAAAUCUGUAGCCUUACAGAAAAAGAUUUUCUCCAAGUGUUUCCCACAAACACUCCAUUAAUCCCAAUAGUUUAAAAACCCUUUUACGAAUGAUGUGGAAAAGAAGUAACACAAGGUUUUAGAACAAUAAACUCUUUAAGGAGUUGAAUUUAAACAACAAAGCUCAAAUGCAAAAGAAUAUGGAAGUUGAAGCUCAAAACUUGAAAGAUCUUGAUGGGUAUUACAUUUAAUCCUUCAUCCCAUGUUUGUAGACAUGUAAAAAUCUUGUUUUUAUUGCCCUUCAUCUCAUUUUGGUCGUUCCAGUGCAGUAAAUGCGUCUCUAGUAGUUGAAACGAAGUAGCUGUUGCAUAUUUUAGAAUUUAAAUUUCGCGACGAAGGAGUCAACUUAUUUUGAAUCUAGGGAUUCGAUUUAUUUGGUCAAGGAGUUGACUAAUCCUUUUAUCUGCACGACAACUGGAGUUCAGGGUCGAAUCAUUUAUUUGAGGUCGACUCAAGACCUUCAAUGUUUUUAAGAUUUUCACGUGUUAAGCAUCUCAAACUCAUCCAAAACCCUUUCUAACUCCAAAAUAAAUAAUGAACAUUUAAUCACAAAACAAAUAUCAAAGACUUAUUUUGGAGCUUUUUAAUCUCAAUCAUUACAGCAGGAAAAAUGUAAAACUUUUAAAACACUUGUACUCCUUUUGUAAUGAAUUAUUCAUCAAAUACUAAUGACAAAAUCAUGUUACAUUCUCAUAUUUCAUUAAGCUAUCCAAUACCUAACACCAAAGGAUAUUGACAAUUCAAAGUACAAAUUUAUCAUUUGCUAGCCACUCACUAAUUUUGUAUUGUGAAAUAUCAAACAUAUAUCACUGUAAAACACAACCAACAAAAGCAUCAUAGACAAUAUCAAAACUAAACCAUAGGUCUAAUUUCUCUUUCAUUUGAAGCAUUUUGAGGCUUCUUGAAUUCAACCCUUACUCUUUUGUUAUGUUUACAGUUAAAAAUAGAAUACAAGUAUCUUGGCAGACUAACCCCAAGGGGUUGGCCUAGUGGUCAAGACCUGAGCCUAGGGUGUGCUCCCUUCAAAAUCUACUAAGUGCAAACAAUUUCUCGAGACCAGUUCAUAUGGGACUUUGCCCGACCCCCCACUAGUGGAUGGUGAGAUUGGUCUUCCGGAGUAGUCGGUCUAAUGGGCCACAUGCUGAGUUAUCAAAAAAAAAAAAAAAAUUAUCUUGGCAGACUUGUAAUUAUUCUAAUUUGUAUUAUGCUUUUCGUUUGUUAGUGCAUAACACAGGUAGGCACUCAGAUCAAACUUAUUCAAAAGAGAUCGUAUACCACAAUUUGAACGAUUAUGGUUUAUGCCUUUGUUUUUCGGUUCUAAAAAUAAAAAAAUUCUAGCGACCUUGCCCUAUCUCUUCCCUCCCCAUUCACACCUCAUGGUUUCAAAGCAUUGAAAUAAGACAAAACAAGGAGGGUGUGGAACUACAUGUAAAGUGAUACAGUCCAUACCUAAUAUUAGGAAGAUAACCUCUCUAGUAUAUUUGGGACUAGUUAAGUUUGAGAUAAUAUUAUAGUGUUAAAGAUAUCAGAAUAUAUGAAGAUACAUAACUGAAGGGAUUUGAUUGUAUCUCCCACUAUAUAUAUGGUGUACCAUGUAAUCAAGAGGAUUAACUAGUGUGAAUAAAAGAUGUAGCCCAUAGGGCUUUGUAUGUGUGGACGUAGGCCAAGAUUGACUGAACCACAUUAACUUUUUGUGUUCUUUCUUCUCUCUUUUCUAUUUUUAUUAUCUCUUCAUAUUCAACCUUCUUGUCAUAUUACCAAUAUCAACUAUUAACACCUACCUUCACAUGCUUCUCAUAUUUCUGAACUUGGAGUUAUAUUAUUUAGUUUAGUGAUCUCUAAAAAAU